AGUGUGUAAGCUACAUUCAACUGCGAUACAUUGACUUUCAAGUGAUUUUUGUUACGACAUUAUUCAUUGGUAAAUAUCCAAUAUUUAAAGUUUUUCCAUUGAACCCAAAUCGUGCUAAUAUGGGAGGACGUGUCGCUGGAAAAGUUGCAUAUUCAAAUGGCGGAUACACCGGUGGCAGCCGUUCAUAUUCCGGCAUCAAUGAGGGUAUCAUGUGGGCAACAAUAAUUAUGGCAAUCAUCAUCACUGUUCUCAUAUCGAUAGCGCUAUGCUAUUUAGCGCGCGAAAAAUAUAAAAAACGGCAAGAAUAUUACAUAAAUGCUUAGGCAACUGUGAAACAUACGCAAUUACACAUAUUGAUCCAUCCAAAAAUCUCUAUGUUGGAGUAUCUCCUGCCAUUAGAGAUGUAAAUGUUCAAGGUUCUUU
Long non-coding RNA from Contarinia nasturtii (swede midge), 423 nucleotides. RefSeq lists it as uncharacterized. The record is from RefSeq and is a predicted model, not a curated record. The transcript has 3 exons. NCBI's taxonomy places the organism in Eukaryota, Metazoa, Arthropoda, Insecta, Diptera, Cecidomyiidae.